GACCUCGAUUCCACAGGAAGUGGGGGCGCCGCAGUUUGGGGGAGGAGCCCGGGGUUGCUAUGGAGUUCCCUGAGCCCCCUUGGAGCACUUUCCGGGUCCGUGUUGAAGUGCAAAAGCAAAUGGAGCGUUUCUGGAGACUUGAGCUAAGCUCAAGUUGACGAGGGAAAGAGGACUGGGAGCUCUCGAUGGGGCAGGUUGUGCAGUGUUCUUUGUUGCCCUGUCUUGGGAUGACAGAUUGGGAAGAAAGCAUCUUUUGAAACUGAUUUCCAAAUUGCUCAGGAUCUUUCUGCCAAGAGCUUAAAAGUAGUGGGGUGAGCAGGGAAAGGCAUUUCCUCUCCAAAGACCAAAUCUUGAAAGUCCAUCCUUGCAUCAGCCACAGGAAGGCUCUUUCCAGUCCCACCACACCUGACUUUAGUAGCUUUUCUUUAACAGGGUCUUAGGGAGAAAAUAUGGGUGGGAAGAAAGUGAGAUCUGCAAAGCCGAGCACCAGAAUUGUCCUGCACACAAAUCUACCAGAUUGAGGACAUCAUUUGAAUGCAUUAUCUGGAGAAGCUUGUUUGCUCCGUGAGUCAUAGAAGCUGUUGCAGGAUAAACUUGAAGGAGUUGGGGGACAAUAUGUUGGAUAAACUUUGCUGUGUUACGUGCUUUGAAGAUCAUCCCUGAGCAAGAGCAGGAUAAUGAAUUAGCAGGUACACAGUGAAUCUGCAAGUGAGCAGAAACCUGAAGGAAGCAAGAAAGAAAGCCACGAAGAUACUUUGGGAAGAGUGUUCCAGGCAAAGAGGAGAGCAAGUGCAAAGCCUGGCCAGUCUCCAACCUGCCCCCUGAAGCAUAUAGUCUGAUUUUUUUCUACCGUGGAUUAAUUUCACCUGUUCUAGAACUUCAUCUGAAUGGAAUCAUAGAGUGAGCAUGCGUUCUUUUGGUAAGGCUUUGUUUCCCCAAUAUGUUUUUGAAAUUUAUUCAUGUUCUUGCAUGUAUUAUUAGUCUGUUCUUUUUACUUCUAAAUAAUUAGCAUUCCAAAGUAUGAACAUACAACAAUUAUUUAUCUACUUUCAUUAAUAUUGUUUUUUGAAUUAUUUCCAGUUUCUGUGUUAUUACAUAUAAGUCAUUGUGUUGACAUAUCUUUUCAUUACUCUUGGGUAAAUAUUUAAAAGUGGAAUUUCUGGGUCACAAGGUAAGUGUAUUUUUGACUUUAAAUGGAACAAAACAGCUAGACAGUUUUCUAAAGUAAUUGUACCCUUCUUUAUUUCCUUCAGCAACACAUCAGAGUUCUGGUUUUCCACAUACUCUCCAACAUUUGGUGUUGUCAGCCUUUUAUCUUUUUAGGCAUUCUAGUGGAUGUAUAGAACUCUCAUUAGAGUUUUAAUGUGCAUUUUUCUGACACUUAAUGGUGUUGAAUAUUUUUCAUGUGCUCAUUGGCCAUUUUUAUAUCUUUCUUUGUAGAGUCUAUCCAAGUAAGUUGCCAAAUUAUAUUAUUAGUUUGUAGGAAGUCUUUAUGUAUUCUGCAUACAAGAAGGUAAGGACUUUCAAUUUUAUUGCUUUUUUAAUGUGAAGGGAAGCCACCGGAAGGUUUUGAGCAUGGAAUAAUGCAAAACCAGGGGAAUCGUUAUAUGAUUUUGCAUUGCACAACUUCAGGGGCUGCCAUUCCCACUUGUAGCCAUCAUAGAUAUGUAUAUUUGUUACAGUUUUCCAUCAGAUGUCAGUAAAUGUCUUCAGGAAGAGACAGCUUUUUAAAACUCAUUCAAAAACACUAUUUGAGUUAGUAGUGGAUCACUGCCAUGAACUUUUACUAGGAUUAUUCUGUAUUUUGUGUGAAAACUGGAGUGCCACAAGGCAAGGUUAAGAUGUUUUCCAAGCAGAAGUUUGAAAUGAUCACUUCUUUUAAGCUGCAUGAGGUAGGAGAGAGAAAGACAAUGCAAAGCAGUAACAGUUUCCAAACAGAAUUCAGAGGAGAUAUGGACCCAGGAUAUAUUGGGGUAGAAGAUGAAACUUUUCCGCCUUUCCAGUCUCUUUAACUAGUGUAAGUUUCUCAAAGUAAGAAGUGGCCCCAGAAUAUAGAUAAAAUCAAAGGCAAGACUGUAAAACCCUUUCUUAAAAUGCUUUGAAACAUGUAAGAUGAUACUCACUUGACUCUCUUAGCUAAGCCAAAGAGAGGCUAAGAAUCACAAAGGCAUUGUCUUGACUUGCUGCUCCAAGCAGGGGGCAGCCUGUCUGAAAAGGGAUGGUGGGAAUGGAUUGUAUCUUUUGGAAUGAACUAUAAUCUGAUACAUAGAAAGCCUACAAUGUCUUUAAGGAAGUGCUGCUAUGAGAUUAUACUAAGAAGGGUCUAAGACGAUGGAAAAUGAAACAGAUCUCUGAGACCCUGAGUUCCUACAGGCUGGAAGUACGCUGAAAAAACUACUCAGCUACAAACACAGCCAUUUCUUACGAAAAAAGAAAGAUAUCUAGAUGGUAGUGUCAACACCCAGAGAGAAAGACCAAGAGAUGAGAAGAAUGGGUUAAGGAACUCUUCUCAGGGAUUAGCACUGGGCCCUAAUCAAGGAACAUUCUCUACUGUUGUAGAAGGUGGAAUUAACAGGUACAUAUUUGGGGGUGAGAAUUGCCACAGACCAAAAGCUCCGUGAGUUUCUUGUCCUUUGCCUCUCUUUAUGAGAGUAUCUAUGGUCAGUAUCCUACUGCUAUUCAACAUUCUAUCUUGUAUGUGUGGGAAGGGAGAAGGUCAUUGUAGUUCACAGGUCCCUGUAUGAAAAGGAGCAGUACUGGAGGAGCUGCACUUGACAGACUACAACCAAGGCGCUUCAUCGAGAUCUGGACCAGAUUUAUGUGAGGAGAUCAUGGACAUUAAGCCUGAUGCUCUGAUUGGAUGAAAUUUUGGGAUAUGAAAAAGGAAAGCAGAGUCACUCCCCUCUCUUGAAUCUGGAAUGGCCCUUGCCAGUGGUGACUUGCUUUGAUCAACAAAAUGUGGCAGGAGUGAUGGUGUGUAACUUCUGAGGCCUGGCAGAAUACCAGAAAGUGAUAUUAUGCAACUUCCACCUUUAAUCUUUUGAAACUCUUCUGAGACUUCCCAGGAAGAAAGAAAACAUGGAGGAAAAGGCUGAGCCAUCAGCCAGCACCAACUGUCAUACUUAGGAGUAAAGCUGUCUUGGGACUCCCAGCUCAGCCUGGACAAAACUCAGACAAUUCACAGAAAUUUGCAAAAUAAUAUAUUGUUAUUAUUUUAAGCCUCUAAA
This is a long non-coding RNA of Camelus dromedarius (Arabian camel), 3227 nucleotides long. RefSeq lists it as uncharacterized. The record is from RefSeq and is a predicted model, not a curated record. NCBI's taxonomy places the organism in Eukaryota, Metazoa, Chordata, Mammalia, Artiodactyla, Camelidae. The transcript has 9 exons.